Molecule: long non-coding RNA, 354 nt
Organism: Mauremys mutica (yellowpond turtle)
Lineage: Eukaryota; Metazoa; Chordata; Testudines; Geoemydidae
Exons: 4
Source: RefSeq, a predicted model, not a curated record
AGCUUCUUCCUGAACCUUUCUGGGACCCUCCAGCAGAUUUCCUGAUACAAUUCUAAAGAAACAUUACACAACUUCAGAAAAGAGAAGAUGAGCUACAGAGACAGCAGAAGGAAACGUUUUCUCUGCAACUGAAAAAAAGGUCUUCUUAUGCAGCUUCAAGCUCAAGAACAUCUGAUUUAUCAGCUUCAGACUGAACAGUGUAAAUGAAAUCUGAGCUAGAAAAAUUAAGAGCUAAAGUUGAACAGCAGCAGAAUGAACUGGGCACAUACAGCAAGUUAUAUGGGCAGGCCAAACGUCAGAGACUGUCCAGUUUGGCCGAUGUACAUAGCAGAGGGGCAUUGCUGGCAUAUGAUG